AUUGAACGCUGGCGGAAUGCUUUACACAUGCAAGUCGAACGGCAGCACGGGGCAACCUGGUGGCGAGUGGCGAACGGGUGAGUAAUAUAUCGGAACGUGCCCAAUCGUGGGGGAUAACGUAGCGAAAGUUACGCUAAUACCGCAUACGAUCUACGGGUGAAAGCGGGGGAUCGCAAGACCUCGCGCGAAUGGAGCGGCCGAUAUCAGAUUAGGUAGUUGGUGGGGUAAAGGCUCACCAAGCCAACGAUCUGUAGCUGGUCUGAGAGGACGACCAGCCACACUGGAACUGAGACACGGUCCAGACUCCUACGGGAGGCAGCAGUGGGGAAUUUUGGACAAUGGGCGCAAGCCUGAUCCAGCCAUUCCGCGUGCAGGAUGAA
RNAcentral lists this ribosomal RNA (380 nucleotides) under uncultured bacterium. Its description in RNAcentral is "bacterial SSU rRNA". It matches the Rfam family "Bacterial small subunit ribosomal RNA", at positions 30 to 412 of the family's 1533-position model. The record is from RNAcentral.